Molecule: ribosomal RNA, 250 nt
Filed under: uncultured bacterium
Lineage: Bacteria
Description: partial 16S ribosomal RNA
Rfam family: Bacterial small subunit ribosomal RNA
Source: RNAcentral
ACGCGUGAAACCUUACCAGGGUUUGACAUUUCCCUGCAUGCCCGGGAAACCGGGAGGCCUACGAGGGUGGGAAACAGGUGCUGCAUGGCUGUCGUCAGCUCGUGUCGUGAGAUGUUGGGUUAAGUCCCGCAACGAGCGCAACCCCCUGUGUCCAGUUAUGCUUUUCUGGGACAGACUGCCGGGAACAAACCGGAGGAAAGGUGGGGAUGACGUCAAGUCAGCAUGGCCCUUACAUCCUGGGCGAGAAACA